CAUUAAGAAGCUAUGAACCAGCACUAGCCUUUUAAGCUAGAGAUAGAGGGUAGAACCCUCCUUAGUGA
This 68-nucleotide transfer RNA is filed under the name Daphoenositta chrysoptera (varied sittella). It matches the Rfam family "tRNA". From Rfam's summary of the family: Transfer RNA (tRNA) molecules are approximately 80 nucleotides in length. Their secondary structure includes four short double-helical elements and three loops (D, anti-codon, and T loops). Lineage: Eukaryota; Metazoa; Chordata; Aves; Passeriformes. RNAcentral also lists the same sequence under 2 other names. The record is from Rfam by way of RNAcentral.